RNAcentral lists this ribosomal RNA (252 nucleotides) under uncultured bacterium. Its description in RNAcentral is "partial 16S ribosomal RNA". It matches the Rfam family "Bacterial small subunit ribosomal RNA", at positions 524 to 776 of the family's 1533-position model. The record is from RNAcentral.
UACGGAGGAUGCGAGCGUUAUCCGGAUUUAUUGGGUUUAAAGGGUGCGCAGGCGGCACGGCAAGCCGGCGGUCAAAUCGCGGGGCUCAACCCCGCCCAGCCGUCGGAACUGCCGGGUUAGAGUGGGCGAGAAGUGCGCGGAAUGCGUGGUGUAGCGGUGAAAUGCAUAGAUAUCACGCAGAACUCCGAUUGCGAAGGCAGCGCACCGGCGCCCUACUGACGCUCAGGCACGAAAGCGUGGGUAUCGAACAGG